UCUAACUUUUGGUGGGGAGCUGAAAAUGGUAAUCGUAAAGUGCAUUGGAUUGCUUGGGAGAAGAUGUGUUUAAGCAAGCGAGUGGGUGGGAUGGGUUUUCGAGAUUUUGAAGCUUUCAAUAAGGCACUUCUCGCUAAACAAGCUUGGCGGAUUCUCACGGUCCAAGAUUCGCUAUGUGCUAAGGUAUUAAAGGCAAGGUAUUUCCCACAGAAUGAUUUAAUGAAGGCUUCGGUUGCUAGGAGUGCUUCGCAAACGUGGGAAAGUAUCAUCUAUGGGCGCUCCCUUCUUAAGGAAGGACUUAUUUGGAGAAUAAGGAAUGAUCUAGUGUCAUUGUGUGGUCUGAUAAUUGGAUUCCGAGAGAGGGUGCGCAAAGACCAGUGGGUGCUCGGGACAUGCACAAUAUCCGAACUGUUGAUGAUUUGCUUGAUUAUUCUGGUUGUGCUUGGGAUUUGCCUACGCUUCAGAGGGCAUUUCAUGAGAGUGACAUUGCUGAUAUUAUUCAGAUUCCGGUGGGAGAUCUUGGUAGAGAAGAUGUGUCGGCUUGGAAUUUUACAAAGAAUGGUUUUUUCACGGUUCAGUCAACAUAUCAUUUGGAGAUGGAGCUGA
This 606-nucleotide ribosomal RNA is filed under the name Triticum aestivum (bread wheat). Its description in RNAcentral is "partial small subunit ribosomal RNA". Lineage: Eukaryota; Viridiplantae; Streptophyta; Magnoliopsida; Poales; Poaceae. The record is from RNAcentral.